RNAcentral lists this ribosomal RNA (702 nucleotides) under Lacticaseibacillus rhamnosus. RNAcentral describes it as "bacterial SSU rRNA". It matches the Rfam family "Bacterial small subunit ribosomal RNA", at positions 394 to 1087 of the family's 1533-position model. Lineage: Bacteria; Bacillati; Bacillota; Bacilli; Lactobacillales; Lactobacillaceae. The record is from RNAcentral.
ACGCCGCGUGAGUGAAGAAGGCUUUCGGGUCGUAAAACUCUGUUGUUGGAGAAGAAUGGUCGGCAGAGUAACUGUUGUCGGCGUGACGGUAUCCAACCAGAAAGCCACGGCUAACUACGUGCCAGCAGCCGCGGUAAUACGUAGGUGGCAAGCGUUAUCCGGAUUUAUUGGGCGUAAAGCGAGCGCAGGCGGUUUUUUAAGUCUGAUGUGAAAGCCCUCGGCUUAACCGAGGAAGUGCAUCGGAAACUGGGAAACUUGAGUGCAGAAGAGGACUGUGGAACUCCAUGUGUAGCGGUGAAAUGCGUAGAUAUAUGGAAGAACACCAGUGGCGAAGGCGGCUGUCUGGUCUGUAACUGACGCUGAGGCUCGAAAGCAUGGGUAGCGAACAGGAUUAGAUACCCUGGUAGUCCAUGCCGUAAACGAUGAAUGCUAGGUGUUGGAGGGUUUCCGCCCUUCAGUGCCGCAGCUAACGCAUUAAGCAUUCCGCCUGGGGAGUACGACCGCAAGGUUGAAACUCAAAGGAAUUGACGGGGGCCCGCACAAGCGGUGGAGCAUGUGGUUUAAUUCGAAGCAACGCGAAGAACCUUACCAGGUCUUGACAUCUUUUGAUCACCUGAGAGAUCAGGUUUCCCCUUCGGGGGCAAAAUGACAGGUGGUGCAUGGUUGUCGUCAGCUCGUGUCGUGAGAUGUUGGGUUAAGUCC